AUAGUUCGAUCGGAGGGUCAGAAAUCAAUCUCACAUGCCCGCAUCACACGCUUUCUUGAUAACUACGAGCGUACCCUUGCCUUUAGAGCAGCCACAACGCGGUAACGAGAGCAGUAAUCCUUAACUGUUUGGCAUUAAAAUAUUAAUAAAAGAAUAACGCGAGCUAAGGAUGAGUCCUUAAUUAGGUGAUUUGCGUUACGGUUACGUGAUGCGGUGGCGUGUUGUGAGUGGCUGCCAAUUGGUUUGUGUUUUAGGUAAAGAAAAAAUCAAUUCAUUUCGCGAACCGAAAAGAAAAAAAAAGUAUCUCCCCUCUCCGAGACGAAACGAAGGCGAUUGUGGAGACCUCGAUUCCGAAGAAAUCAAUGAAACGAAACCGAACCGAGAGGAACUAUGUAAUUCAAUAGUGACCCCUGUCAACAGAAUGUGUACAUGUAUAAAAAGGUACACGCUUCUUGAAUUUCAUUUGAAUAACCCUGACAAAAAGGACGGAGAUGCCAAGCAGUGCUAACGGACUAAGUAACGAAGCUAUCAAACUAUGAGACGGGGAAGUUUAUAAAAGUACUAGUGGUGUGUUCGCGCGGAGCUAUACCUUUGUUUUUGUUUCAUUGUAUGUGUUACACACUCUCUCUGAUGUUUCAGCGAGAUACUUUAUUUUGCUUAGUUUCCGCUAUGAAUGAUUAGAGUAACUUUAUCAGAUUGUCGUAGUAAAAUAUCUUUAUCGAUCAUGGUUGUUUGAGA
Raphanus sativus (radish) is the source of this 738-nucleotide RNA transcript. RefSeq lists it as uncharacterized. The record is from RefSeq and is a predicted model, not a curated record. Lineage: Eukaryota; Viridiplantae; Streptophyta; Magnoliopsida; Brassicales; Brassicaceae. The transcript has 3 exons.